GUGAAUCAUCAAAUUUUUGAACGCAAAUUGCGCCUUUUUCGGAAGGCAUGUCUGUUUGAGGGUCCCAUUCAACAAAUAAUGUUCAGUGUUUUUUGUUGCACACGUUGAUGAGCUUUCCAAGUUUUUUAAAUUUUUGGUGUCGCAUAAUGAACAGCGAGAUAGUUUUUUCCAGUUCGAGUGAAGUAAAAUCUUUUCUUGGUUUGUGUAAAUACAUAAUCGCGCAAUGGGUGGGUCAAUUUCUUUUUAUU
Molecule: unclassified non-coding RNA, 248 nt
Filed under: Paraglomus sp.
Lineage: Eukaryota; Fungi; Glomeromycota; Glomeromycetes; Paraglomerales; Paraglomeraceae
Description: partial contains 5.8S ribosomal RNA and internal transcribed spacer 2
Rfam family: 5.8S ribosomal RNA (bases 1-65)
Source: RNAcentral